This 1290-nucleotide ribosomal RNA is filed under the name marine metagenome. RNAcentral's name for it is "bacterial SSU rRNA". It matches the Rfam family "Bacterial small subunit ribosomal RNA", at positions 8 to 1345 of the family's 1533-position model. The record is from RNAcentral.
AGAGUUUGAUCAUGGCUCAGAACGUACGCUGGCGGCACGCCUAACACAUGCAAGUCGAACGAAGUAGCAAUACUUAGUGGCAGACGGGUGAGUAACAUGUAGGUAUCUGCCCUAUGGCCUGGAAUAACACGAGGAAACUUGUGCUAAUACCGGAUAAGUCUUUACGGAGAAAGCUUUAUGCACCAUUGGAUGAGCCUGCACUUGAUUAGUUUGUUGGUGGGGUAAUGGCCUACCAAGACUGUGAUCAAUAGCUGAUUUGAGAGGAUGAUCAGCCACAUUGGGACUGAGACACGGCCCAAACUCCUACGGGAGGCAGCAGUGGGGAAUCUUGCACAAUGGAGGAAACUCUGAUGCAGCGAUGCCGCGUGAGUGAAGAAGGCCUUUGGGUUGUAAAGCUCUUUCGUCGGGGAAGAAAAUGACUGUACCCGAAUAAGAAGGUCCGGCUAACUUCGUGCCAGCAGCCGCGGUAAUACGAAGGGACCUAGCGUAGUUCGGAAUUACUGGGCUUAAAGAGUUCGUAGGUGGUUAAAAAAGUUGGUGGUGAAAUCCCAGAGCUUAACUCUGGAACUGCCAUCAAAACUUUUUAGCUAGAGUAUGAUAGAGGAAAGCAGAAUUUCUAGUGUAGAGGUGAAAUUCGUAGAUAUUAGAAAGAAUACCAAUUGCGAAGGCAGCUUUCUGGAUCAUUACUGACACUGAGGAACGAAAGCAUGGGUAGCGAAGAGGAUUAGAUACCCUCGUAGUCCAUGCCGUAAACGAUGUGUGUUAGACGUUGGAAAUUUAUUUUCAGUGUCGCAGCGAAAGCGAUAAACACACCGCCUGGGGAGUACGACCGCAAGGUUAAAACUCAAAUGAAUUGACGGGGACCCGCACAAGUAGUGGAGCAUGUGGUUUAAUUCGAAGAUACGCGCAGAACCUUACCAACACUUGACAUGUUCGUCGCGACUUUAAGAGAUUAAAGUUUUCGGUUCGGCCGGACGAAACACAGGUGCUGCAUGGCUGUCGUCAGCUCGUGUCGUGAGAUGUUGGGUUAAGUCCCGCAACGAGCGCAACCCUCACUUUUAGUUGCCAUCAUUUAGUUGGGCACUCUGAAAGAACUGCCAGUGAUAAGCUGGAGGAAGGUGGGGAUGACGUCAAGUCCUCAUGGCCCUUACGUGUUGGGCUACACACGUGCUACAAUGGUAUCUACAACAGGAAGCAAGACGGCGACGUUAAGCAAAUCCUUAAAAGAUACCUCAGUUCGGAUUGCACUCUGCAACUCGAGUGCAUGAAGCUGGAAUUACUAGUAAUCGU